RNAcentral lists this ribosomal RNA (448 nucleotides) under uncultured bacterium. RNAcentral describes it as "partial 16S ribosomal RNA". It matches the Rfam family "Bacterial small subunit ribosomal RNA", at positions 328 to 793 of the family's 1533-position model. The record is from RNAcentral.
CUUCCAGACUCCUACGGGAGGCAGCAGUGGGGAAUAUUGCACAAUGGGGGAAACCCUGAUGCAGCAACGCCGCGUGAAGGAAGACGGUUUUCGGAUUGUAAACUUCUGUUCUUAGUGAAGAAGAAUGACGGUAGCUAAGGAGCAAGCCACGGCUAACUCCGUGCCAGCAGCCGCGGUAAUACGGAGGAUGCGAGCGUUAUCCGGAUUUAUUGGGUUUAAAGGGUGCGCAGGCGGAUUUUUAAGUCAGCGGUCAAAUCGUGGGGCUCAACCCCAUCCAGCCGUUGAAACUGGGGAUCUAGAGUGUGCGAGAGGUAUGCGGAAUGCGUGGUGUAGCGGUGAAAUGCAUAGAUAUCACGCAAAACCCCGAUUGCGAAGGCAGCAUACCGGUGCACAACUGACGCUCAGGCACGAAAGCGUGGGUAUCGAACAGGAUUAGAUACCCGAGUAA